UAUGGUGCAGUUGAUUGGCUAAGAAUUAAAAAAAAUGGGUUUCUUGGUCGUGAGAUAAAAAUAAAAUAAAACCCAUACCAUAGUCACUGAACAAUACAAAAGAUAAGAAACACGUGAUAUUGACUCUGUACUGAGGUAUAUAUAUGGCUGUGAGACUUAAACAGCAUUCUAAGAAACAUGAAGUUCGCUAUCCUCCUCGUCUUCGCAGCCCUCCUGGUGGCCUCCCAGGCAGCCCACGAAGUCUGUGGCACAGGCUGUGUCGCUGCUGGCGCUAACGAAAUCACCUUCUGCCAGAACCUCUGCACCAGCUGUGCUGGACACGUCCAUUGUAACAAACACAAUGAUGAGUGCGAGUGUCACGGAAAUGACCAUACUCACAAGGCA
Molecule: long non-coding RNA, 384 nt
Organism: Haliotis rubra (blacklip abalone)
Lineage: Eukaryota; Metazoa; Mollusca; Gastropoda; Lepetellida; Haliotidae
Exons: 2
Source: RefSeq, a predicted model, not a curated record